Molecule: unclassified non-coding RNA, 1765 nt
Filed under: Leishmania donovani
Lineage: Eukaryota; Euglenozoa; Kinetoplastea; Trypanosomatida; Trypanosomatidae
Description: gene:LdHU3.35.6340(CDS-product:hypothetical_prote in_conserved)
Source: RNAcentral
AGAUCCGAUCGCCACUCAGCACCAACACGCAGACGCAUACACACAGGCAAAAAAAACCCUCGCACACACACACGCAAAACCAUCGACGUGCAUAGGAGAGAACCAUAGAAGGCGCCCGAUUCACGCAGCGAGUCCUUUUUUAGUUUUGUGCGCCUCACUGUACACCGGUGCUCUACUGAUUUCUCAUCUCUCAUCUCUCUUUGUCUUUUUGUCCUUGUAACCUGCGCGUCGGACCUUCGUUGUCACUCACCUGUCCUCGCCUCCUCCAGAGUAAACAACACCCGACAUCGAGGUAUCUCUACACUUGCCCUCACCUCUGAAAACGCUAAAAUGGAGUUCAUCAUGAAUUCUGUGUAUGCGGUCGACCCCAUCUACCUGCUGAUGAGCGCCGUCGCCCAGCAGAUGCUGGCAAUGGCCUGGUUUGACUGCAUUGUGGGCCAAAUUGAUCGCUACUAUGUCGCAGCGGACAAGGGCGUGCGGCGGGUCGAGCACGCUAUCACGCGCUACCCAGGCAUAAUGGUCUCUGCGAUGACCUUCGCCUGCUCGCUGCUCCGCUCACUUGUUGUGCUGACGAUGGUUAGCAUGUGCAAUUGCUCGACGCUCUACCAGUAUCAGUCGGCUGCCAUGGUCGCCGUGAUGAUUGGCAUGAUGCGUGUCCACCGCACCUUCUCGUGUCACCGCCCCAUCCAGAUUUUUGUGACCGAGACCGGCUACGAGAUGGCUGCGGCGAUGACGGCGGCGGUGGUCUGUUACUACAUGAAGAAGUACAACUUCUAAGGGAGGCCAUCUGACGGUUCUCACUUCACUUGGGGUGCCAAGUCAAUCGACCAUCAACCUUCGCCGCUCACUCGACCGCCGUCGAGAGACAUAUCUGUCGGCGUGUGUGGGUGUGGUUGGUACCUUCUCUGUACUCUUGUCUUCAUUUUGGGUUCUCCCCUUCUUUUGUCGACGAGGUGGCAAGGAGGCUUACAGUCCUGUCUCUUCGUCUUUCUUCGUGUUUUCCACCUUUAGAUGCAGCCACUUCCUCCUCCUUUUCCUUUUAGUCCUGCGAGUGCACUUGUGGGCAAGCUCGCGACGACUUCGAUGCUUGUCUGUUCCUGCACAUUGUUCCUGCAUCCCCCGGUCGACUCUGUGUACUAUUGCUGCCUUUUUUUUUUCGUUACAUAGAGAAGCGUAUGGAUGGUGAGGGCGGCGCAAAGGAAUGCGCUGGCGCCGCGGAACGCGUCCACAGAGGUUGUAUGUCUAUGAGUGAGGUGAGGAGGGGAGGGAGUGAUGGGAGGGAUGGGAGAGGGGGGGGCAGGGAAGCAGCUGCAGGACAUCGCAAUGGAGGAAAAGGAGGUUUACUCAUUUUUUCUUUCGCGUAUCCGCCGCAACGUCGUUUUCCGCGUUUUUUUUUGUUUCGUGUGCUCUUCUCUCCCGUCUCCUCAUUGUUUCCACCGUCGCUGACUUUUCUCUUGGUCCAUGCGUGCAUCUGCGUGAGCCCCUGCACAGUCAAUGGUGCCUAUCUUCUAGUUUCAGCUGAUCUUGUCCUCUUACCGUUUGGCGCUUUUCAUGCUAAGGGGCUUCCGGGAACCCCGCGGCGGAGAUGCGGUAGAUGUCCUGUAAGUGCUCCUCAAGACUGCCCCUGGAAGGAUUGAUGUGCUGCACAGCAUUGGAUGCAAUCAGCUCGGCAUGGGUGGACGCGCUCGCACACAUGCUCACCAGCCGUCUCGCGUGUUCGUUUGUGCAUUCAUUUAAUCUUGACAAGAUUGUGCCUAGAGCAAAG